This 863-nucleotide long non-coding RNA is filed under the name Zea mays. RNAcentral describes it as "long non-coding RNA (ZMAY_LNC000980)". Lineage: Eukaryota; Viridiplantae; Streptophyta; Magnoliopsida; Poales; Poaceae. The record is from RNAcentral.
GAGCCUCAGAAUUAUCCCACCUCGCUUAACUUGGGAGGAGGAAGCCACUUUAAAAUGGAGAGCCACCCUUCCCCCAUUAGACUAGUCUUUUGGGGCGAUUGGGCCUUUCCCUGAGCUGGGUGUGCUUAAUAAACUGUUGGGCUCCGGGCAACCCUAAUUUGUUGGGCCUCGGCCAACCCCACUUGGGCUGGGUGUAUCAUCUGGUAUCAGAGCUAGGGCCCAUUUUAAGAAGGUGAGAAUGAUGAGGACAUCCUCCACUAUUACCCGUUGACAAAGACGCAAUUGGCCCAGUUGGUCCAAUUGUAGUCGGACGGUGACCGUGUGAGCCUCAGAAUUAUCCCACCUCGCUUAACUUGGGAGGAGGAAGCCACUUUAAAAGGGAGAGCCACCCUUCCCCCAUUGGACUAGUCUUUUGGGGCGAUUGGGUCUUUCCCUGAGCUGGGUGUGCUUAAUAAACUGUUGGGCUCCGGGCAACCCUAAUUUGUUGGGCCUGGCCAACCCCACCUGGGCUGGGUGUAUCAUUUGGUCUACCUAUGGGUAUUGGUAGCAUCGUGAUAUUUUUCUUCACAUAGAAUGACUUCUUUCAAAAUGAAUGAGCCCACGUCCUCAAUUUUGUUGUACAAUAGACCUUAGGUCAAGUCGUCCGCCUUUUUUAGUUGAAAUUCAUGUAAAAGAUGUUUAUAAACAUCAUAUAUUUACACUUGAUAAUACAUUUACAUCUUUAAUGACAAAACUACAUACAUGACUAUUACUAAUAAUACCUUAUCAAGGUUCUUGAUAUAUUGUUCAUUCUCUAUCAUGAACACGCACAUAAAACCCAAAGAGGAUAUUGAUCCGGGUGGUUGCUUGUGGUACCACAUAAC